UGGAAGAUCAUAACCGUGAAAAGCAUACUGUCCGUUGUGGUAAGUGCAAUCAAACUGGACAUUACAAGACAACCUGCAAAGCAGAGGCUGUUUAGAGUACACACCCCGAAAAAUCCUCGAGGACCAAUUUGACGCACAAUUUGAAACUCGAUGAACAAUGGACCUGUCCCUCUAUCCUUCUUCACUUAGGUAUCACCCUUCCCGAAGUCUUCCAAUAUUUUAUUUUUGGUUCGUUUCUUUGAGGUAGAAUUAGUAAAUAUUGUAGAAAGAUAUAAGAUAAGAGGUCUCAACUAGCUUAUUAGUAAAUAUUGGAGAGAGGUAUAAGAUAAGAGGUCUCAACUAGCUUUAUGCAUGCUCAGGCAUUCUAGGCCAUUCAGAUACUGUAAAAUAGGGUUGCUUGUUGUGCCCAAACCUCACUGUAACGUUUAACUGCAAAAGUUAAAUUACCUAAGUUUGGUGUAAACCACAGGGUGUCGGUAAGUAUUUACCCUAGUGAUGGUUGUGAGGUAAUGUUCUCUAUGAUUUAUUUGGUUUCUGUUACCUAAAAAAAAUGCUUUGUUAUCCCUUUUUUUCCAGUGGGUAUAAUCAUUAAACUCUGAUCAAACUACUUUCUGGACAAAUUGCAGGAAGUUUAUUGACAAAAAUAGUGAUUUCAUAGCUGUUAUCUUGGGGCUCGUUUGAUACGAGGGAUCAGGGAUAAUUAAUCCCAUGAUUAAAUUUGAGAUGAGUUUACCUAAUGUUUGGUUGGGAUAAAAUUGCAGUAUAACUAAUACGGGAUUGUAUUUUUUU
RNAcentral lists this long non-coding RNA (789 nucleotides) under Nicotiana benthamiana. RNAcentral's name for it is "long non-coding RNA (NBEN_LNC002798)". Lineage: Eukaryota; Viridiplantae; Streptophyta; Magnoliopsida; Solanales; Solanaceae. The record is from RNAcentral.